CGCGUAGGCGGGGAGGUAAGUCGGGUGUGAAAUCCCUCGGCCCAACCGAGGAACUGCGCCCGAGACUGCUUCUCUUGAGUCCCGGAGAGGAAGAUGGAAUUUCCGGUGUAGCGGUGAAAUGUGUAGAGAUCGGGAGGAACACCGGUGGCGAAGGCGGUCUUCUGGACGGUGACUGACGCUGAGGCGCGAAAGCGUGGGGAGCAAACG
RNAcentral lists this ribosomal RNA (207 nucleotides) under uncultured bacterium. RNAcentral's name for it is "partial 16S ribosomal RNA". It matches the Rfam family "Bacterial small subunit ribosomal RNA", at positions 568 to 774 of the family's 1533-position model. The record is from RNAcentral.